CGGGACGGGUGAGUAAUGUCUGGGAAACUGCCUGAUGGAGGGGGGUAACUACUGGAAACGGUAGCUAAUACCGCAUAACGUCGCAAGACCAAGGAGGGGGACCUUCGAGCCUCUUGCCAUCGGAUGUGCCCAGAUGGGAUUAGCUAGUAGGUGGGGUAAAGGCUCACCUAGGCGACGAUCCCUAGCUGGUCUGAGAGGAUGACCAGCCACACUGGAACUGAGACACGGUCCAG
Molecule: ribosomal RNA, 233 nt
Filed under: uncultured bacterium
Lineage: Bacteria
Description: partial 16S ribosomal RNA
Rfam family: Bacterial small subunit ribosomal RNA
Source: RNAcentral